This 601-nucleotide ribosomal RNA is filed under the name Ditua sp. UPOL A00033. RNAcentral's name for it is "partial 16S ribosomal RNA". It matches the Rfam family "Bacterial large subunit ribosomal RNA", at positions 1816 to 2714 of the family's 2925-position model. Lineage: Eukaryota; Metazoa; Arthropoda; Insecta; Coleoptera; Lycidae. The record is from RNAcentral.
CAUGUCCUUUUGAUUAUAAUUUAAGGUCUGAUCUGCUCCAUGAGGUUUAAAUAGCCGCAGUAUUUUGACUGUGCAAAGGUAGCAUAAUAAUUAGUUCUUUGAUUAAGAGCUGGAAUGAAUGAUUUGACAAGAAAAUUUCUGUCUCUUUCUUAUAAUUAUUGAAUUUUAUUUUUAAGUGAAAAAGCUUAAAUUUUUAUAAAAGACGAGAAGACCCUAUAGAGUUUAAUAUUUAUAUUUAAAUUAAGUUUAGAAUUUUAUUUGUAUAUAUUUAUUUGGUUGGGGUGAUUUAAGGAUAAAAUUAAUUCUUUAAUUAGUUAAUUGAUGAUUAUUAAAUUUAAAAUCUAUUGUUUAUAAGGCUAAAAUAAAUUACCUUAGGGAUAACAGCGUAAUUUUUCUUUAGAGCUCUAAUCGUAAGAAAAGUUUGCGACCUCGAUGUUGGAUUAAAAUUAAUUUUUGGUGCAGUAACUUAAAAAUUAGGUCUGUUCGACCUUUAAAAUUUUACAUGAUCUGAGUUUAAACCGGUGUAAACCAGGUUGGAUUCUAUCUUUAGAAAGAUAAUAUAUUUUAGUACGAAAGGACCAAAUAUAUAUUAAAUUAAUAG